UAGCUCAGUUGGUAGAGCGCAACCUUGCCAAGGUUGAGGUCGAGAGUUCGAGACUCUU
Molecule: transfer RNA, 58 nt
Filed under: Alcaligenaceae bacterium
Lineage: Bacteria; Pseudomonadati; Pseudomonadota; Betaproteobacteria; Burkholderiales; Alcaligenaceae
Also listed under: 1 other name
Description: tRNA-Gly
Rfam family: tRNA
About the family: Transfer RNA (tRNA) molecules are approximately 80 nucleotides in length. Their secondary structure includes four short double-helical elements and three loops (D, anti-codon, and T loops). Further hydrogen bonds mediate the characteristic L-shaped molecular structure. tRNAs have two regions of fundamental functional importance: the anti-codon, which is responsible for specific mRNA codon recognition, and the 3' end, to which the tRNAs corresponding amino acid is attached (by aminoacyl-tRNA synthetases). tRNAs cope with the degeneracy of the genetic code in two manners: having more than one tRNA (with a specific anti-codon) for a particular amino acid; and 'wobble' base-pairing, i.e. permitting non-standard base-pairing at the 3rd anti-codon position.
Source: RNAcentral